Molecule: ribosomal RNA, 253 nt
Filed under: uncultured bacterium
Lineage: Bacteria
Description: partial 16S ribosomal RNA
Rfam family: Bacterial small subunit ribosomal RNA
Source: RNAcentral
UACGUAGGGUGCGAGCGUUAAUCGGAAUUACUGGGCGUAAAGCGUGCGCAGGCGGUUUUGUAAGUCUGAUGUGAAAUCCCCGGGCUCAACCUGGGAACUGCGUUGGAAACUACAAGGCUAGAGUGUAGAAGAGGGGGGUAGAAUUCCACGUGUAGCAGUGAAAUGCGUAGAGAUGUGGAGGAAUACCGAUGGCGAAGGCAGCCCCCUGGGCUAACACUGACGCUCAUGCACGAAAGCGUGGGGAGCAAACAGG